UGCGUCGAACGAGAAAGUUCCCUUCGGGGAGCGAGUAAAGUGGCGCACGGGUGAGUAACACGUAGGUAAUCUACCUUCGGGUGGGGAAUAACCCAGGGAAACUUGGGCUAACACCUCAUAAUGCAGCGGCACCACAUGGUGACAGUUGUUAAAGCGGGGGAUUUUCGGACCUCGCGCCUGAAGAGGAGCCUGCGGCAGAUUAGCUAGUUGGUAAGGUAACGGCUUACCAAGGCGACGAUCUGUAGCCGGCCUGAGAGGGCGGUCGGCCACACUGACACUGACAUACGGGUCAGACUCCUACGGGAGGCAGCAGUCGGGAAUUUUGGGCAAUGGGCGAAAGCCUGACCCAGCAACGCCGCGUGAAGGAUGAAAUCCCUCGGGAUGUAAACUUCGCAAGAAUGGGAAGAAUAAGUAGGGGACAAUACCCCCUAUGAUGACGGUACCAUUUGUAAGCUCCGGCUAACUCCGUGCCAGCAGCCGCGGUAAUACGGGGGGAGCAAGCGUUGUUCGGAUUUACUGGGCGUAAAGGGCGCGUAGGCGGCCAGCACAAGUCGGUUGUGAAAUCUCCGGGCUUAACUCGGAAAGGUCAACCGAUACUGUGCGGCUAGAGUGCGGAAGGGGCAACUGGAAUUCUCGGUGUAGCGGUGAAAUGCGUAGAUAUCGAGAGGAACACCUGCGGCGAAGGCGGGUUGCUGGGCCGACACUGACGCUGAUGCGCGAAAGCCAGGGGAGCGAACGGGAUUAGAUACCCCGGUAGUCCUGGCCUUAAACGAUGGAUGCUUGGUGUCUGGGGUUUUAUAGUCCCCGGGUGCCGUACUAACGCGUUAAGCAUCCCGCCUGGGGAGUACGGUCGCAAGACUGAAACUCAAAGGAAUUGACGGGGA
Molecule: ribosomal RNA, 884 nt
Filed under: uncultured bacterium
Lineage: Bacteria
Description: bacterial SSU rRNA
Rfam family: Bacterial small subunit ribosomal RNA
Source: RNAcentral